ACCAAAGUAAUUUUUUCAAAUAUCUUCUACUUUAAGCUUUUCACAUCGGGUUCAUGAAAUAUGUCAUAUUACGUGAAGUGUUGCUUGAGAAUGCAUCAAGCACCUAAAUGUGGAAGGUAGAAUAGAAAUUACAAUAAUAAAAUCUUAAUUCUAAUAGAAUAUUAAAUAAAAUCUAAUUGAAUCUUAAUAAUUCUAAAUAAGCUUUAAUCAAAUUCAAAAGAAACCUUAAAGAAAUUAUAAAAGAAACAAUAAGAAAUCUUAAAGCAGUUGAAAGAUAAUGCACAAUAAACCUUAAAAGAAUCUUUAAGAAGUUCUAAAAAAUAUUAGAAUAAUCACAAUGUAUCUUAAAUAAAUCUCAAUCAAGUUCUAAUUUAAUCCUAAUUGAAAUUCUAAUAGACUUGAAUCAAAUUCUAGCCAAAUCCUAUACAAAUCCUAAAUCCUAAAUAAAAGCUUAGAUAAACACUUAAUCUUAAAUCCAAUCCUAAUUAAAUCCGAGCCAAAUUCUAAAUUCUAAAUUAAAUCCUAAACAAACAUGAAAUCCUAAAUCAUAGCCUAAUCAAACUCUAAAUCCUAAAUUAAAUUCUAAUCAAAUCCUAAAACCUAAACCAAAUCCUAACCAAAUCCUAAUCAAAUCUAAAACAAAUCUUAAACUCUUUACCAAACCCUAAUC
RNAcentral lists this long non-coding RNA (670 nucleotides) under Physcomitrium patens. RNAcentral describes it as "long non-coding RNA (PPAT_LNC003322)". Lineage: Eukaryota; Viridiplantae; Streptophyta; Bryopsida; Funariales; Funariaceae. The record is from RNAcentral.